Molecule: non-coding RNA, 857 nt
Organism: Ictidomys tridecemlineatus (thirteen-lined ground squirrel)
Lineage: Eukaryota; Metazoa; Chordata; Mammalia; Rodentia; Sciuridae
Source: RefSeq, a predicted model, not a curated record
CAUUCAGGAACAACCGGGGAGCAGUUUGAGGAGCAUCUGUAUCUGCUUAGAAAGUGUCUUGAGCAGAGUUCUCCACUGCUUCCCUUAGGAUUUCAGGCUUCCUCGGCGGUCUGACCUUCAGUGAUCUCCAAAGUGGAUAUCUUAAGCUUCACGGAGAUCAUUUCCAUCUAUUCCAGGACCCAGGGGCAAAGGAUGCAUGUGCAUAUGUGUGCCUGUGUGCGUUGCAGAGAGCUCGGGAACAAACAGGACACACCCAUGAUUUAGGACUGUGUGAGAGAACAUAUUUCCAAAGUUUCAAUCCUUCCAUGUCUGUGGUACUUAGCUUAUGGUCACCCUAAGAACUCAUCAUGGAACACAGGACUUCAGCUAUGUAGGUGGGUGAAUCUAACAAUGUCACGGCUGAUGAUGGUUUCACCCACAUGGCUGAGGAGAGCAUGUUCCUCUAGGGAACAUGUCCACCAUCGAUUGUCCUUGCCAUGGCCGGCCAUCUAAAGGAGAAUUGUCAAACGAUUAAUAAUACCAGUCCACAUUUACUCAGCACUAAGUUAGUCCAGUUCUUGUCAGAACUUGAUGUCUGUCAGCUGACUUCAUCCUACAGCUACCUGUGUGAGAUCGUCAACUGCCAGCUUUCACAACAUCCUGUUCCAGAUCCUUGGAGUAGCCUAGAAGUCUCUAGAACCACCUAGAAAAACCAGAGCGGAAGUAAUGAUCACCAGAACCUGGUCCAUCCCUGCCACCCCAUAAAAUGCCUGUUACCUCCCUGUUUGGGGCUCAGCUUGAUCACUUUCUCCCUCAGGGCUGUCCCCCGUCUCCUGCAGGUCAGACCCAGCAAUUAAAGCUCUGCCUGUGUUCCGGUU